This is a long non-coding RNA of Olea europaea var. sylvestris, 553 nucleotides long. RefSeq lists it as uncharacterized. The record is from RefSeq and is a predicted model, not a curated record. The transcript has 2 exons. NCBI's taxonomy places the organism in Eukaryota, Viridiplantae, Streptophyta, Magnoliopsida, Lamiales, Oleaceae.
UUGUACAUUGGACUACCAUUGUGUGUAUCCUUUUAGACACUUCAUGUGAUAUUGUGCUGAAACAUUUUGUUUUAUCCUUAGGUGCCCCCUGAUUUUUACAUUCCCGAUUUUGAUGAAGAUGAACUGAAUCCUGAUGAACGUGUAGAUCGACACACGAAAGACAAGCAAAUCCAGCGUGAUGAUGAAUUUUACGCAGGUGAUAACGAUAACGACCAUAUUAUGGAUGAUGCAUGAUGUGUAAAGUUGGUGAUGACAAAAUUCCAAUUUUUGAGAUUUGUAGGUCUCAGCUUUUAGUGUGAAUAUGUGAAGAAAAUAGACAUGAUUAGCUUUCAUUUGUAAUGCUUUUUGCCUUCUAUAAGAAAUAGAAAAAAUAUGGGCAAGAAACUUCCAUUCAGCUGUUUAACUUUGGUUCUUUUUCUUUCUGUAAUUUCAAUGACUUGGCAGGAUAAUUAUGUAGUUGAGUUAUAAUGGACGAUUUGUACCUUGUAGAAUGGUUUUUGGAUGUAUUAAUUUCCAACUCAUAUGCAAUUUAUGUAGAUUUUUUGAGAAUAAA